Molecule: unclassified non-coding RNA, 263 nt
Filed under: Hevea brasiliensis (rubber tree)
Lineage: Eukaryota; Viridiplantae; Streptophyta; Magnoliopsida; Malpighiales; Euphorbiaceae
Source: RNAcentral
AGGAGUGGCAGUGGCCUGAGCCUUUUAUUUUAACGAGACCUUAGAUGUAUUGUAUGGUAUGGUAUGGGAUUGAAGCUUAUCUUCUCAAUCUAGGAACUCAAACUUUGAAAAGGUUCCUAGUAAACUUAACAUUAAAGAAAGCUUAGCUUAUUCUCCCACUCUGGUUUUAACCGAUGCAUUAGCUUUUCUUUUACAAGAUGUCCUGGACGCCCCUUUCUUCAAAAAAGGAGAUGCAUUCCAUUACGGAUAUUCUUCAAGUCAUA